CAAGACCUAUCGUUUUCGGAGUGGCCGAUAUCAGAUUAGCUAGUUGGUGGGGUAAAGGCCUACCAAGGCGACGAUCUGUAGCUGGUCUGAGAGGACGACCAGCCACACUGGGACUGAGACACGGCCCAGACUCCUACGGGAGGCAGCAGUGGGGAAUUUUGGACAAUGGGGGCAACCCUGAUCCAGCCAUGCCGCGUGAGUGAAGAAGGCCUUCGGGUUGUAAAGCUCUUUCGGACGGAAAGAAAUCGCGCCAGCUAAUAUCUGGUGUGGAUGACGGUACCGUAAGAAGAAGCACCGGCUAACUACGUGCCAGCAGCCGCGGUAAUACGUAGGGUGCGAGCGUUAAUCGGAAUUACUGGGCGUAAAGCGUGCGCAGGCGGUUUUGUAAGACAGACGUGAAAUCCCCGGGCUUAACCUGGGAACU
RNAcentral lists this ribosomal RNA (424 nucleotides) under uncultured beta proteobacterium. RNAcentral describes it as "bacterial SSU rRNA". It matches the Rfam family "Bacterial small subunit ribosomal RNA", at positions 202 to 622 of the family's 1533-position model. Lineage: Bacteria; Pseudomonadati; Pseudomonadota; Betaproteobacteria. The record is from RNAcentral.